This 416-nucleotide ribosomal RNA is filed under the name Segatella copri. Its description in RNAcentral is "partial 23S ribosomal RNA". It matches the Rfam family "Bacterial large subunit ribosomal RNA", at positions 1 to 422 of the family's 2925-position model. Lineage: Bacteria; Pseudomonadati; Bacteroidota; Bacteroidia; Bacteroidales; Prevotellaceae. The record is from RNAcentral.
AAGAAAGUAAGAAAGGGCGUAUGGCGGAUGCCUAGGCUCACGGAGGCGAUGAAGGACGUGAUAAGCUGCGAUAAGCUUCGGGUAGGUGCAAAUAACCUUUGAUCCGAAGAUUUCCGAAUGGGACAACCUAGCCGUCUGAAGGACGGUUACUAGCACUUAAGUGUUAGAGCUAACGCAGGGAACUGAAACAUCUUAGUACCUGCAGGAAGAGAAAAUAAAUGAAUGAUUCCCCCAGUAGUGGCGAGCGAACGGGGAACAGCCCAAACCAGUGGCGUCGCAAGGCGUGGCUGGGGUUGUAGGACCGCGACAUUGUAUGCAAAUCGUGAACAGAACACUUUGGAAAAUGUGACCAUAGACGGUGAUAGUCCAGUAUGUGAAGCGAAAUGCAGCAUAGCGGUAUCCUGAGUAACGCGGGA